AAUGGGCGAAAGCCUGACCCAGCAACGCCGCGUGAGGGAAGAAGGUUUUCGGAUUGUAAACCUCUGUCGCAGAUGACGAAGAAAGUGACGGUAAUCUGUGAGGAAGCCCCGGCUAACUACGUGCCAGCAGCCGCGGUAAUACGUAGGGGGCGAGCGUUGUCCGGAAUUACUGGGCGUAAAGGGUGCGUAGGCGGUUCUUUAAGUUGGAUGUGAAAUACCCGGGCUUAACCUGGGGGGUGCAUUCAAGACUGGGGAACUAGAGUUCAGGAGAGGGAAGCGGAAUUCCUAGUGUAGCGGUGAAAUGCGUAGAUAUUAGGAGGAACACCAGUGGCGAAGGCGGCUUUCUGGACUGACACUGACGCUGAGGCACGAAAGCGUGGGGAGCAAA
Molecule: ribosomal RNA, 388 nt
Filed under: uncultured bacterium
Lineage: Bacteria
Description: bacterial SSU rRNA
Rfam family: Bacterial small subunit ribosomal RNA
Source: RNAcentral